This 338-nucleotide unclassified non-coding RNA is filed under the name Hevea brasiliensis (rubber tree). Lineage: Eukaryota; Viridiplantae; Streptophyta; Magnoliopsida; Malpighiales; Euphorbiaceae. The record is from RNAcentral.
GAUCUUUGUGAAUUUUAAUAUUCACUCCACCAUAGAAGACGGCAACCUUCAGAUCCGGAAGAUAUGUGCUGAACCUUUCAAACUCGUGACAGAUCUGGUAUGCAAGCUCCCUAGUAUGGCACAGAACAAGGGCAGAAACUUGACCAGCAACAGGGUCAAUCUGCUGCAGUGUUGACAGAACAAAAACAGCUGUUUUACCCAUACCAGAUUUAGCUUGACAAAUAACAUCCAUGCCGAGGAUAGCUUGGGGAAUACAUUCAUGUUGCACUUCAGAUGGAUGCUCAAAUCCAGAGUCUACAAUAGCACGGAGAAGCUCUGGCUUCAAUAGGAAGUCUCUG